This is a long non-coding RNA of Arvicola amphibius (Eurasian water vole), 1071 nucleotides long. RefSeq lists it as uncharacterized. NCBI's taxonomy places the organism in Eukaryota, Metazoa, Chordata, Mammalia, Rodentia, Cricetidae. The transcript is spliced from 3 exons. The record is from RefSeq and is a predicted model, not a curated record.
UUGGCCUUUCCUAGAAGCCAUCAAGUUUCUGUAAGUAACUGUCUAUGCUGAAUUUAGCAGGUCAGGUGGAGGGAGGGCGGGCUUCACACUCACAUUGCAGGUGUUUUAGGCUGAGGAGUUGGAGAUUUUACCUCUCCACCCUCUCGCUCUCCUUCCUUCAUUGCCAACAGAGCACAAUUUGAUUAGAUUAGUUUGAAAAUUCGGCUUCUGUCUAAUGGUUUACCAGCUGUUAAGGUGAACUAAGUGGUGUGACAGUAUUCUAGAUUUUAAAAAGAACAUCUUAAACAUAUUUACGUAUUAAACAACUCCUCCCACCUUUUGGCAUUAGAGGAAGCUAAUCUCCCACAAGGACAACUCUGAGAUAAGGAUGGCUUACUUACUCUAACAAAUGCCUCCCGGGCUUUGACGGCUAUUCUUUCGGUUUAAAAUCUUAAAAUAUGGAGGUUACACUAUUCUUUUCCCUGGGGAAAGGGAGCAGCUUCCCUAGAGGGCGAGGGGUGUGCUCAGUAGUUAUCAGUCCAGGCUCUCAUAAAUCUCUGCCAGCUUUUUCAUCCUUAGAAAGAGAAGCAUCAAUUAAGACGUGUGGGUUGUUCAGCCCCAUUGUAUUGCGGUUUUGAGGAAAACUACAUCCUCUCCUGGCUUGUUUUUAACCUUCACGAGGAACAAGGAUUGGUCCAGGACUGGGAAAUGGUGAUUCCACUCAUCAAAUAGAAGAGAGAAGAAACCUUAUUUAAAGAACGUCCUGCCUCUGAGGACUUUUAAGAAGCGAUCUUGCAACUCUGAAGGAAAUUCCUGGAAAGAGGCAGAGAUCACAAAGGCCAAUUGAGGGACCAGAACUCCGAUGACGUGCAACGUUUGGAAUGCUGUUAAAUUCAGAGUCCAGUUAUUUUGGGUUAUCUUUAGUUCCCUUAGAUGGUCAUCUAUUGCCCUACCCUCUGCCUGCCCCCAUCCCCGCCGUGAGCUGCUCCUCCGGACCCGCUAGCACCUCCUGCCGGACCCACCGGGCUCACACCUGCGGCUUGGGUGGCUCUCCUGGGAACCCGCGAGUCUCUCUGCCUUGGGACUGGCUGC